CCCACCUCCACCAGUCCACCAUUAUGAUCCUCCAUAUUACUACAAGUCACCUCCACCUCCCUCACCAGUUUACAAGUACAACUCCCCACCUCCACCAGUCCACCAUUACGAUCCUCCAUAUUACUACAAGUCACCUCCACCUCCCUCACCGGUUUACAAGUACAACUCCCCACCUCCACCAGUCCAUUAUUAUUCACCUCCAUAUUACUACAAAUCACCCCCUACUCCUGUGAAAUCGCCACCACCUCCAUACUACUAUAAAUCACCGCCUCCUCCCUCACCAGUUUAUAAGUAUAGCUCACCACCUCCACCAGUCCACCAUUAUGAUCCUCCAUAUAACUACAAGUCACCUCCACCGCCUUCACCUGUUUACAAGUACAACUCCCCACCUCCACCAGUCCAUUAUUAUUCACCUCCAUAUUACUACAAAUCACCCCCUCCUCCUGUGAAAUCGCCACCACCUCCUUACUACUAUAAAUCACCUCCUCCUCCCUCACCGGUUUACAAAUACAACUCACCACCUCCACCGGUUUACAAGUACAACUCACCAC
This 551-nucleotide long non-coding RNA is filed under the name Trifolium pratense (red clover). Its description in RNAcentral is "long non-coding RNA (TPRA_LNC014426)". Lineage: Eukaryota; Viridiplantae; Streptophyta; Magnoliopsida; Fabales; Fabaceae. The record is from RNAcentral.